GUGCUUGCUUUGGCAGCACAUAAACUAAAACUGGAACAAUACAGAGAAGAUUAGCAUGACCCCUGCGCAAGACAUGCAAAUUCAUGAAGUGUUCCGUAUUAAA
Molecule: small nuclear RNA, 103 nt
Organism: Octodon degus (degu)
Lineage: Eukaryota; Metazoa; Chordata; Mammalia; Rodentia; Octodontidae
Source: Ensembl